This is a long non-coding RNA of Leptinotarsa decemlineata (Colorado potato beetle), 1139 nucleotides long. Lineage: Eukaryota; Metazoa; Arthropoda; Insecta; Coleoptera; Chrysomelidae. The record is from RefSeq and is a predicted model, not a curated record.
CAAUGUUGCUCUAUGAAUCCAAAUUGAACCAAAGCGCUGCCGAAACAGACAACAAAAUUAACCAGAUUUCUGGCAAUGAUAGUGUUAAUGGUCAGACAGUGCGUUCUAGCCUUAAAAAUGAGCCUCGAAAUGGUCGACCUAUUAAAACAGAAGACGAGGAUUUGAGAACCCUGGUGGGAAUUUUGAUGCUUUGAAACGUAUUGAAGAGCGAAAAAAUUCGAAAAGUGAAUGGCCCACAAUUCGAACGAUCGAUAGAAUUGGUCACGUUUUGAGAUCUGUUCUUUUUUGCUUUUGUGUAACCGAAACGAUCCUUUUUUGGAUCGGAUCGUCACGUGUGAUGGGACGUAGCUCCUCUACGACAACAGAUGUUCAGGACAGUAGCCACCUAGGCAUUUCUUGAAGUCAAAAUAUCACCAAAAAAGACCAUGGUUUCUGUAUGGUGCUGGCACUGGUCAACAGAAAAGUUUCGAUACUGCUGAUCCUGAACAAUUGUUUUUCGAGCAAUAGAAAUCUCGUUGUGAAUCAGCAAUGGAAUUUGGGACUCAUAUCAAAUGGGCCCGAAAGAAAUAUCGACGUGUACGACCUCAUUUAUGAUUCAGGUUGUAUGAUCUCAUUAAGGCGAAACAUCGGUGUAUACCAGUGAGGGUGACAGUGUUCUAUGAACAACAAGGAUGAUACGCUGCGGAAGCCAUGAGAAGCAACAACACCACUGCCAUCAGCACCCUCACCAACCCUUGGACGCCAUGUGGAGGCCCCAGGAGGAUACCGAGGAAGAAGCUCCCAUUCCCCCAGCCAGCAGUGGAAGACUGGGAGCAGUGGAAGACCCGACGGAGCAAAUCCAGGACAUCCUAGAGGAGUACCACAGGCGAUCUGAUAGAGGACACCGCACGGCCUAGAACACCCUGAACUCUCAGGCAUACUUCCCUCGAUCCAACCCGAUUUCUUAAGAACAACCACCGCUUUGGACCCGGACACUCCAACAAAUUAUGCAACUUCUAACUCCGAAAAUUUUAAUUGAAAUUAUUUGUAAAAAACCCAAUCCUCAAGAGGCAUUACCCUUUAACAGGAAUCCCCUCAUAUCAUUAUAUAUAUGUAACUUAUUCUAUCAAUCCGCAAAUGAAUAAACAUUUCUCUCUCUC